Molecule: ribosomal RNA, 216 nt
Filed under: uncultured bacterium
Lineage: Bacteria
Description: partial 16S ribosomal RNA
Rfam family: Bacterial small subunit ribosomal RNA
Source: RNAcentral
GUCCCAGUUCGGACUGUAGUCUGNAACCCGACUACACGAAGCCGGAAUCGCUAGUAAUCGCGGAUCAGAAUGCCGCAGUGAAUACGUUCCCGGGUCUUGUACACACCGCCCGUCACACCAUGGGAGUCGGAAAUGCCCGAAGUCAGUGACCCAACCGGAAGGAAGGAGCUGCCGAAGGUGGAGCCGGUAACUGGGGUGAAGUCGUAACAAGGUAUC